GACUGACAUCCUUGAGAGUCCUGUAGUCGUAGAGGAGUGUGACUCGGUGAACUCAGUGACAGGUGCUGCAUGGCUGUCGUCAGCUCGUGCCGUGAGGUGUUGGGCUAAGUCCCGCAACGAGCGCAACCCCUACUUGCUAGUUGCCAUCACAUAAGUGAUGGCCACUUUCGUGAGACUGCCCGGUUCAACCGAGAGGAAGGUGGCGACGACGUCAAGUCAUCAUGGCCAUUACGUCCAGGGUUACACACAGCUAGAUACAAUGGUGGACUACAGAGUGUCGCGAAUCCGCGAGGUCGAGCCAAUCCCAGAAAAUCCAUCCCAGUCUCGGAUCGCAGUCGUGCAACUCGACUGUGUGAAGUUAGAAUCGUUAGUAAUCCCAGAUCAGCAUGCUGGGGUGAAUACGUUCCCUCACCUUGUACACACCGCCCGUCACACCACGA
This 440-nucleotide ribosomal RNA is filed under the name uncultured delta proteobacterium. RNAcentral describes it as "bacterial SSU rRNA". It matches the Rfam family "Bacterial small subunit ribosomal RNA", at positions 978 to 1407 of the family's 1533-position model. Lineage: Bacteria; Deltaproteobacteria. The record is from RNAcentral.